This 72-nucleotide transfer RNA is filed under the name Thermoplasmata archaeon. RNAcentral's name for it is "tRNA-Thr". It matches the Rfam family "tRNA". From Rfam's summary of the family: Transfer RNA (tRNA) molecules are approximately 80 nucleotides in length. The record is from RNAcentral. Lineage: Archaea; Methanobacteriati; Thermoplasmatota; Thermoplasmata. RNAcentral also lists the same sequence under 2 other names.
GCCUCGGUGGCUCAGUGGUAGAGCGGCUGCCUCGUAAGCAGCAAGUCGGGGGUUCAAAUCCCCCUCGGGGCU